RNAcentral lists this ribosomal RNA (471 nucleotides) under uncultured fungus. RNAcentral describes it as "SSU rRNA". It matches the Rfam family "Eukaryotic small subunit ribosomal RNA", at positions 969 to 1461 of the family's 1831-position model. Lineage: Eukaryota; Fungi. The record is from RNAcentral.
UUCAUUAAUCAAGAACGAAGGUUAGGGGAUCGAAAACGAUCAGAUACCGUUGUAGUCUUAACAGUAAACUAUGCCGACUAGGGAUCGGACGACCUCAUAUAAAUGUGUCGUUCGGCACCUUACGAGAAAUCAAAGUCUUUGGGUUCGGGGGGGAGUAUGGUCGCAAGGCUGAAACUUAAAGGAAUUGACGGAAGGGCACCACCAGGAGUGGAGCCUGCGGCUUAAUUUGACUCAACACGGGGAACCUCACCAGGUCCAGACAUAACUAGGAUUGACAGAUUGAUAGCUCUUUCUUGAUUUUAUGGGUGGUGGUGCAUGGCCGUUCUUAGUUGGUGGAGUGAUUUGUCUGGUUAAUUCCGAUAACGAACGAGACCUUCACGUGCUAAAUAGCCCAGUCGGCUUUGGCUGACUGCUGGCUUCUUAGACGGACUAUCAGCGACUAGCUGAUGGAAGUUGGAGGCAAUAACAGGU